This 576-nucleotide ribosomal RNA is filed under the name uncultured bacterium. Its description in RNAcentral is "partial 16S ribosomal RNA". It matches the Rfam family "Bacterial small subunit ribosomal RNA", at positions 356 to 932 of the family's 1533-position model. The record is from RNAcentral.
UGGGGAAUUUGGACAAUGGGCGAAAGCCUGAUCCAGCAAUGCCGCGUGUGUGAAGAAGGCCUUCGGGUUGUAAAGCACUUUUGUCCGGAAAGAAAUCCUUGGCUCUAAUACAGUCGGGGGAUGACGGUACCGGAAGAAUAAGCACCGGCUAACUACGUGCCAGCAGCCGCGGUAAUACGUAGGGUGCAAGCGUUAAUCGGAAUUACUGGGCGUAAAGCGUGCGCAGGCGGUUUGCUAAGACCGAUGUGAAAUCCCCGGGCUCAACCUGGGAACUGCAUUGGUGACUGGCAGGCUAGAGUAUGGCAGAGGGGGGUAGAAUUCCACGUGUAGCAGUGAAAUGCGUAGAGAUGUGGAGGAAUACCGAUGGCGAAGGCAGCCCCCUGGGCAAUACUGACGCUCAUGCACGAAAGCGUGGGGAGCAAACAGGAUUAGAUACCCUGGUAGUCCACGCCCUAAACGAUGUCAACUAGUUGUUGGGGAUUCAUUCCUUAGUAACGUAGCUAACGCGUGAAGUUGACCGCCUGGGGAGUACGGUCGCAAGAUUAAAACUUAAAUGAAUUGACGGGGUCAUAGCUG